This 406-nucleotide long non-coding RNA is filed under the name Zonotrichia albicollis (white-throated sparrow). Its description in RNAcentral is "lncRNA (ENSZALG00000001941.1)". Lineage: Eukaryota; Metazoa; Chordata; Aves; Passeriformes; Passerellidae. The record is from RNAcentral.
CCUUUGGAACAUGUGGGACCCCAACCAGGUUCUCCCCAUGGCCUGAAGACCCCAGACCCACAACCACAACCUCCUCCUUUGGAACAUGUGGGACCCCAACCACAUUCUCCCCAUGGUUUGAAGACCCCAACCCAACCCCUACCACAUUCUCCCCAUGGCCUGAAGACCCCAGACCCACAACCACCACCUCCUCCUUUGGAACCUGUGGGACCCCAGCCAGGUUCUCCCCAUGGUUUGAAGCCCCCAUCCCCAUCUCAACCAGGUUCUCCCCAUGGCCUGAAGACCCCAUCCCCACCACAACCUCCUCCUUUGGAACAUGUGGGACCCCAACCAUGUUCUCCCCAUGGACCGGAGACCCCAGACCCACCAUGACCUUCACAACGUCCUGUGAAGGUUGUGGGACCCC